Molecule: ribosomal RNA, 428 nt
Filed under: uncultured bacterium
Lineage: Bacteria
Description: bacterial SSU rRNA
Rfam family: Bacterial small subunit ribosomal RNA
Source: RNAcentral
UGGGGAAUUGUUCGCAAUGGGCGCAAGCCUGACGACGCAACGCCGCGUGGAGGAUGAAGAUCUUCGGGUCGUAAACUCCUUUCGAUCGAGACGAACGGCUCCCGGGUAAACAAUCCGGGAGAGUGACGGUACCGAGAGAAGAAGCCCCGGCUAACUCCGUUCCAGCAGCCGCGGUAAUACGGGGGGGGCAAGCGUUGUUCGGAAUUACUGGGCGUAAAGGGCUCGUAGGCGGCCAACUAAGUCAAACGUGAAAUCCCUCGGCUUAACCGGGGAACUGCGCUUGAUACUGGAUGGCUUGAGAUUGGGAGGGGGAUGCGGAAUUCCAGGUGUAGCGGUGAAAUGCGUAGAUAUCUGGAGGAACACCGGUGGCGAAGGCGGCAUCCUGGACCAACACUGACGCUGAGUGAGCGAAAGCCAGGGGAGCAAAC